AUUUUUGCUGCUAUGAAAGCCUCUUUAUUUUUAACACAUUCCUAAGUAAUUUUGAUUCUGUACUCUAGAGGUGAUUUUAAUUUCUGAUAAGACAACCUAAAAUUUAUUCUGAAGUCACAUAAUUUAUUUUAAAAGAUAUAAGUUCUAUAAAAUGCACUUAUUUAUGUAUUAAGACAGAUGUGUCUUAACACAACCACCACCCAAUACUAAGAGUCAAACCCAGGACUUUGCAAAUGCUGAGUGCUUUUUUUUUUUUUUUCCCUUUUCCUUUUUUUCCUUUCUCCGAGACAGGGUUUCUCUGUGUAGCCCUGGCUGUCCUGGAACUCACUCUGUAGACCAGGCUGGCCUCUGCCUCCCAAGCUGAGUGCUUUAUAUUGAGUGAUAAAUCUGGAUAUCUCUCUCUCUCUCUCUCUCUCUCUCUCUCUCUCUCUAAUGUUGGUAUUAAUUUAUUGCCAUUUAUUUGAAGUAUCUAGCACUAUACCCUAUCAGAUUUUUCUUUUUCCUUUCUUUCCUUUCUUUCUUUCUCUUCCUUUUCUUAAACAAACAAACAAUUUGCUAUAGGAGCCGGGCGUGGUGGCACACGCCUUUAAUCCCAGCACUUGGGAGGCAGAGGCAGGCGGAUUUCUGAGUUCGAGGCCAGCCUGGUCUACAAAGUGAGCUCCAGCACAGCCAGAGCUAUAAAGAGAAACCCUGUCUCGAAAAACCAAAAAAAACCAAAAACCAAACCAAACCAAAACAAAACAAAACAACAAAAAAAAAAACUAGACUCCACAAUUUGCUAUAGGUUUACCCAUCUUAACAGUGUCUUGGAAAAGAAACUGAUAAGAACUCUGUGGUUUAUGUUUUAUGGUCAAUAUAUUUUUACUAUGGAAGCAACUGAAUUGGCUUAAUAUUGGGCACAUUUGCUUCUAUAAUGAUCUUCUUUCUAGUUCUCAAUAAGAAUAAUCACAAAAGUGAAAAGAAAGGAUGUGUUGUGUGUAAGAGAAAUUGCUAAAAUGCAUUGUUCUGUAAGUUCCAUUUCCAAAUAUGGCAGGCAGUAUGUGGUGUAAAUCACAGACUUCACUGUACAUCUGUGAACAUGACAUGGCUGUUAUUUCUCAGUGGCUCUAGUCUUAUGUUAUUAUACUAGGUGCCCUAUUAACCGUGCAUACGGAAGAACUGAAAAUUGUGCAGAAUGGAAAGAAAACUAGGAUGGUCUGUAAUGAUAGUUGGCAUACUCUACCUUGAAAUCAAUCAUACGAAAUUUAUGCUAAACACUGUAGUAAGAUGGAGAGAUGGCCAGUAUUGAAGACCACUUGUAACUCCUCCAGAGAACCCACGUCAGUACCUAGCACCCCAUCAGACAGCUCACCAGCCACCUGACAGUUCCAAGGAUCCAGCACCCUCUCUGGCUUCUGAGUCCACACAUGCGUGCAUGCGUACACACACAGACACAUACCACCUUUUAAAAACAAGUUUAAUAAAUACAUAUACCAGUAUUUUGUAGGAUUGGUCAUAUAAAAAAUUCUUUCUGUUUAUUAACAAUGGAUAGUAAACUAAUUCUUUUAAAUGACACUUGCUAAAAAAUGAAAUAUGUACAGAGUAGUCGCAUUAAAGGUAGGUAAUAGCUUUACACUGAAAACUAAAACACAAAGUAGAGAACCUAAAAUGAAAAGCCAUGUAAUAUAUGUAUUGUUCUUACCUAUGUCAGUGAAAAGGUAAGUGGCUGUCCUUUGUUUUUACUUGGAUGGCACUAUCUGAGCUGGUGAUAGUACAUUUGGGAAUACAAAAGAAUGUAGAGCAGAGUGAAGAUCAUGAGAUGCUCUAGACAGAGAAAUGGGACUGGUUUUCAACCAUGAAAUGAUAGGCUUUCUAACACAUUUUUACUAAACCAAUCAGAUAGCUAAAAUGCUGAAAAUAAACUGGUGUCUUCCAUCACGUGACGUGAGCAGUUGACUUGUAACAUUUCAUAGGGUUAAAUUUGAGAAUAAAUGAAAGAUCCAAACACAAAAUGGACACCUUGGAUGAAUCAAAUAUUAGAAGAACAAGACCUAAGAAACACAAACUAGAAGCAGAAAAUGUUAAAUGUUUAUUUUUCAGAGAUAUUUAAGGAACUAAAGCGCAAGCCACAGACCUGGAAAAAGUAUUUACAAAGGAUCUGUGUCCAGAGGACACAAAGAACUUCACAACUUAAGAGGAAGAUAAUAAUCAAGGGGAAGUUGGGUAAAGAACUUAGAUUUAUUUACCACAGAAGAUAUUUAGAUGGCAUAAAUGUUUAUGAAAAAAAUAAGUCAUUAGCCACUAGGAAAUUAAACUUGAAGUCACUUGCCUGAUAUGUGCAAGGCUCCUGGCUCAGUCUCCGUACCAAAACACC
Molecule: long non-coding RNA, 2353 nt
Filed under: Mus musculus (house mouse)
Lineage: Eukaryota; Metazoa; Chordata; Mammalia; Rodentia; Muridae
Description: long non-coding RNA chr4:44831657-44834010
Source: RNAcentral